Molecule: transfer RNA, 86 nt
Filed under: Felis catus (domestic cat)
Lineage: Eukaryota; Metazoa; Chordata; Mammalia; Carnivora; Felidae
Rfam family: tRNA
About the family: Transfer RNA (tRNA) molecules are approximately 80 nucleotides in length. Their secondary structure includes four short double-helical elements and three loops (D, anti-codon, and T loops).
Source: Rfam by way of RNAcentral
GCCUGGAUGGCUCAGUCAGUUGAGCAUCUGACUUCAGGUUCAGAUCAUGAUCUCACAGUUGGUGGGUUCAAUCCCCACGUUGGGCU